UGAAAUGAUAUUUUGUCCAAUAAUAAUUUAUAAAAUUUAUUGAUGAGGAAAAUAAUUUCAAAUUUUAAUUUAUGAAUAAUGCAAUGAAGUACAUAGAAAAGAUAGAGAUGGACUUCGCUCCUCAAGUCAACUUAACCAAAAAGCCGAAUAAAUAUCAUUCUUCUCCCUCUCCCAGACGUUUCGUCGUGCACCAUAACUAAACCUUUUCUCCUCUCUCUCUCUCUCUCUCUCUCUCUCUCUCUCUCUCUCUCUCCUUCUCC
This 260-nucleotide long non-coding RNA is filed under the name Eucalyptus grandis. RNAcentral describes it as "long non-coding RNA (EGRA_LNC007982)". The record is from RNAcentral. Lineage: Eukaryota; Viridiplantae; Streptophyta; Magnoliopsida; Myrtales; Myrtaceae.